This 345-nucleotide unclassified non-coding RNA is filed under the name soil metagenome. Its description in RNAcentral is "partial contains 5.8S ribosomal RNA, internal transcribed spacer 2, and large subunit ribosomal RNA". The stretch from base 1 to 120 matches the Rfam family "5.8S ribosomal RNA", at positions 35 to 154 of the family's 154-position model. The record is from RNAcentral.
GAUGAAGAACGUAGCGAAAUGCGAUACGUAAUGUGAAUUGCAGAAUUCAGUGAAUCAUCGAGUCUUUGAACGCACAUUGCGCCCCCUGGUAUUCCGGGGGGCAUACCUGUCCGAGCGUCAUUGCUGCCCUCAGGCACGGCUUGUGUGUUGGGCCUCCGUCCUCCUCCCGGGGGACGGGCCCGAAAGGCAGCGGCGGCACCGCGUCCGGUCCUCGAGCGUAUGGGGCUUCGUCACCCGCUCUUGUAGGCCCGGCCGGCGCUUGCCGACACAUCAAUCUUUUUUCCAGGUUGACCUCGGAUCAGGUAGGGAUACCCGCUGAACUUAAGCAUAUCAAUAAGCGGAGGA